This is a non-coding RNA of Oryza brachyantha (malo sina), 193 nucleotides long. The record is from Rfam. NCBI's taxonomy places the organism in Eukaryota, Viridiplantae, Streptophyta, Magnoliopsida, Poales, Poaceae.
AAUAACCUUAUUUUUCGUUUUUCCAUGUCCAACGUUUGACCAUUCGUCUUAUUUGAAUUUUUUUGCGAUUAAUAUUUUUAUUGUUACUAGAUGAUAAAAUAUAAAUAGUACUUUAUACGAGACUAAUUUUUUUAAGUUUUUUACAAAUUUUUCAAAUAAGACGAAUGGUCAAACACGUUGGACACGAAAAAAC